UGGAUGGUGAGCUUAUCAGUUCUGUUGGCCCAGGCCUUUGCGUAUUAGUUGGAAUCCAUAAAUCGGACACUAAGAAAGAUAUCGAUUGGCUGGUGAAUAAACUGCUGACUCUGAAAUUGUUUGGAGAUGAAGGCGGAAAGAGAUGGUCGAAAAACGUUGUUGACUCUGGCCAUGAAAUACUGUGUGUGAGUCAAUUCACCUUGUACUAUUCUCUUAAAGGAACAAAAUUAGACUUUCAUAAUGCUAUGCCUGCCACUCAAUCGCAGCCUUUUACGAAGAGUUUCUAUCUUCAUUAAGGACAGCAUAUUUACCAGAUCGAAUCAAAGGUGAGUGUACCUAUUUGUAAAUCGUAAGUAUUUUUUUGUAAGUAGGUACAAACUUUUCAGUCACAUUUAAAGGCAAAGUUCUUACAUGAAUCUCACAUCAGUAAGCAAGGUAUACCAUAUUGUACUUAGAUAAAAGUAAAAUGUAAUUUUUCUGAAUUCAUCGUUUUAUUAUUGUGAAAGAGAUUUUGUAAUUAAGUGAUUGAUUUUUUUAUUCUUUAACAAAUAAUAGAAUAAAGUCAAAAGCAAAUCAAAUUUUUUCUUUUCCUCUUUUUUUUAGAUGGCAAGUUUGGUGCGAUGAUGGAUGUUAGCCUAAUUAAUGAUGGUCCUGUCACAAUUCAAUUGGAUUCUCCAACUCAGCCAACAGCUACCUCUGGGGAUGUCAGUUAAAAUGAAAAGUCCCUAUUCUAAGAAUACUGGUAGUAUAGAGGAAGUAGUCAAAUCGAAAUGGAAAAAUACGCGGGACCACUUCAACAAAGAGUUCAAGAAGAUCCUGUCCUCGAAUGCUCAAACAAUGGAAGAUGCUGGCAUUGCAUAUCGUGGCAAGUGGCCUUACUUUCGGGAGAUGCUAUUUCUCAAAGACAAAGAGAGACUUGCUGAGCUUGAAGAUGAUAGUAAUGAAACCCAUGAUGAUUUUUACCGAUCGCCACAGCAGGAAGAUGAAAGGACACGGCAACCUCCUCCACCACAGUUGUACCAUGCAGACACUUCAGUCCCUGACCUCAACUUUGAUACAUUCGUGCCAACUCUGGACAGCGCCCCACCUCAGCUGUCUCGGAAACGCCGCAAAAAUGCGGAGGAAGAGGACCUCUAUGAAAGAUUUUUAGCCAUAGAGCAAGAAAAGUUAGAAUUUUUAAGGACUGCUAAAGAGAUGAUGGACCUUGAUGAUGAUAUGCAUUUUGUCAAGUCCUUGGUGCCAUUUUUGAAACAGUUGUCACCGCUAGCUAAGCUGAGUGUCCGUUCUAAAAUUCACCGGGUCAUCGCUGAAGAACUCAGGGGUCAGCGUGGAUUUGAUCGUUUUGACCGGUUUGCAGAAUCCACAUUGCCUCAUCCAACCUCACUCGUGGCAGCCGUCUAUGAUCGCCCUCAAAGUUCCACUCCCUGAUUCUCGUAGUGUACCAGUAGCGAGAGGCUGCUGGUCAUAAGAUUUCCUCUUGAGUUAAAGCGAUUCCGAUUCCAUAGCGAGGAACUGGGUUUUUGUUUCGACCACAUCUUGUUAUUUUAUGUAUUUAUAAAAUUACACAAAAUCCGAUUUUCUUGGGCACAUUAUUUGUUUGCCUGCAGUACUGAUAACGGAUUUUAUAUGUUACUGUGUAAGCUAAUCCUGUUAUCUCAUUAAGAAAUAGAUAUUAAGAGCUCCUUUUUAUCUCUUACCCAAAAUUGUAAUUAGGUUUUCUUGUAUCAUGUUAUUUUCAAAACAAACUAUAAUCCAAGUAGAAUUUUCUAAACAUGACAGAUCUAUCUUACGUCAAUAGGAUGCAUGUACUUUACCAUUUAAAUUCAAAUGCUAUCCUCCGCUUUUACCCAAUAGAAAUAAAUGUUUGAUUUUUACCAAUUUUUUUCCAUCCAGAUUCUUCAGCAGUGGCAGCCAUGAGCACAUGGCACUCUAAUUCCUUAGUUCUUUCGGUUUUCACUCUAAUUCAGCUUUUGUCUUUGCCCACCGAAUUCUGUUUCAUCUCAGUUCCCUUUUCUCAACCUUGUGGAGAAGAGCACAAAGACAAAUACAAAGAGAAGAAUACAAAGUUCAAGAAAUAUCACUUAAUAGUUUUAGCUUUCCCUUCAAGAAUAAAAAUGAAAAAAUGCAGCUUUAAAGUUAUGGAGAUCAGAAUUUUUUAAACGUUUCAUCUUAGCAUGUCAAUUUCCUUGAAAAAGUUCAAUAUUUUUGUAUCAAUACGUGGAUUGCAUGGAAACUUGUUGCAUCUAAUCAAGCAUGAAAAUUUCUUAUACAUCAGAAAGGAUUUUUCAAACACUUAUGUUAAUUUACUGACUCUCAGUAAAGAAACAAUAGAUACUUUCAAAACUUAGCCACUGAUUUUGAAUUAUAAUUGAAACUCAUACGAUAAUAUCUAUUUAAAUUUAAUCAUUAUUAUGUGGAAACUAAAGCAUCCACUCUGUUUUAUGCUAGAUGUGCCUUUGUAUCUGUUAAAUUUAAAUUUAGUCUUUUUUUUAAGUGUAGCCAAAAUCUGUGAUAAAGCUUUUGUUAUUUUGAUUUAAUGGAUAAAUUGCUUGUCUAUAUAUCUUUUUAAUACCUAAGUAUUUCUUAAAUUAAGUGUAAAUAUUUUGGAGAGAAAACGCAGCACUCUUGCUGCUAAUAAAUAUUCAAAAUUUCUUAAAUCUC
Molecule: long non-coding RNA, 2661 nt
Filed under: Bemisia tabaci
Lineage: Eukaryota; Metazoa; Arthropoda; Insecta; Hemiptera; Aleyrodidae
Description: lncRNA ENSSSA3NGG002502
Source: RNAcentral